UGCAAUUAGUUUGCGCAACGCUAUGGUU
Molecule: small RNA, 28 nt
Filed under: Bombyx mori (domestic silkworm)
Lineage: Eukaryota; Metazoa; Arthropoda; Insecta; Lepidoptera; Bombycidae
Description: ovarian small RNA-33422
Source: RNAcentral